This 1040-nucleotide long non-coding RNA is filed under the name Capsicum annuum. Its description in RNAcentral is "long non-coding RNA (CANN_LNC000811)". Lineage: Eukaryota; Viridiplantae; Streptophyta; Magnoliopsida; Solanales; Solanaceae. The record is from RNAcentral.
UUUUUCUCUUGGUUAAAAUAUUUUUUCUCUCCUACACCUUUUGAUUGGGUGCACAGAUUUUGUAGGCUUCUAACUUCCCACAUCCUUAUGCUUCUUAAUUAUGGUAAUAAUAAUGUCAUUAUUAGUGUCCUCCUCCCUAUUCUUAUCCUCCACAUUAAAAACUUCCUCAAAAGGAGAAACAACUUUUUCUCCCUUAGACUUUUUUUAGCAUUCCUCUUUCGAGUGGUGGCCCUUUUACUAGACUUUAAAGUAUUACUCAUUAGCUUCUUUGCUGCCUCUCUAGUGCUAUAAGAAUUUUGUAAUGGCCUCUCAAUAACCUGGUCCUUUCCCUCGUACCCCUUUUAUCCUACUUUAUUCUAGAUAUUAUUUACUAAUUCAUCCUCCUCCCAAUCAUCUUUCACAGAAGAAUAAAGUAUGUUUUUGGACACACUGGCAGAAAUUAGGGUUUUAUUAUAUCUGGGGCUUAGGAAUUAUGGAGGGGAUUCUAUAGAAAGAAAUUAAAAUCCCCUUGGGUCACAGGCUAAUCAAGUGAGGUUAUAAUCCACCCAAUCUGCCCCAGCCUCCACGCUGCUAGGAGGUUCCCAUAUUUCUCAAGUAGGUCAUCUUUGAACAAGGCUUCUUGAAUAAAAAGGAUUCAGGGACCUAGUUCGUAAGAACCUCAGGCAGGGCUCCAUACUGAAAAAGAAUACUAGAUGAUGAGGCCUUAGGAUUGGGAGUCACAGAUGGUGAAGAAGAAGAGUUGGUAGUUGGAGAUGGCAUUUCAAGAGUUUCUAUGCUAAUUGAUGAUUGAGAAAUGAACAAAGAGGGCACUUCACUGAUAUGUGAUCCAAAUAGAGCAUCGAUGUCUGAUGCAGGUAGAGAAAUGUACUUAGAGAAUGGAUUUUCAAUGUUUGGAGAGGAGUUUAUUGGAGGAGACUCGAUGGAAGGAGUAUUUUCUUCUGAGGGUGUCUGAAUUAGGGACGAAGGAAGAGAUAUUUUGCUGGUUUUUUAAAAAAUAAUUUUGAGAGGGAGAUAUAAAGAGAUGAGAACUUUGUGAGAGA